This 786-nucleotide ribosomal RNA is filed under the name Typhlobrixia namorokensis. RNAcentral describes it as "bacterial SSU rRNA". It matches the Rfam family "Eukaryotic small subunit ribosomal RNA", at positions 601 to 1287 of the family's 1831-position model. Lineage: Eukaryota; Metazoa; Arthropoda; Insecta; Hemiptera; Cixiidae. The record is from RNAcentral.
AUAUUAAAGUUGUUGCGGUUAAAAAGCUCGUAGUUGGAUCUGUGUCCCGCGCCGCCGGUUCACCGCCUGUCGGUGUUAAACUGGCGUGAAUGCGGGACGUCCUGUCGGUGGCGGUCCGGGGCUUCGUCAGCUGUAGGGGCUGUCCAGGCAUGUCCUGCGUCGACCCCAAAGGCUGUCGUAUGCUUCCGGCCGCCUUGUCAAUCCCGCCGCGGUGCUCUUCACCGAGUGUCGAGGCGGGCCGGCACGUUUACUUUGAACAAAUUAGAGUGCUUUAAGCAGGCUCUUUCCUGCCUGUAUACUGUGUGCAUGGAAUAAUGGAAUAGGACCUCGGUUCUAUUUUGUUGGUUUUCGGAAUCUGAGGUAAUGAUCAAUGGAGACAGGCGGGGGCAUUCGUAUUGCGACGUUAGAGGUGAAAUUCUUGGAUCGUCGCAAGACGGACCGAAGCGAAAGCAUUUGCCAAGUAUGUUCUCGUCGAUCAAGAACGAAAGUUAGAGGUUCGAAGGCGAUCAGAUACCGCCCUAGUUCUAACCAUAAACUAUGCCUGCCAGCGAUCCGCCGGCGUUCCUCCGAUGACCCGGCGGGCAGCUUCCGGGAAACCAGAGCUUUUGGGUUCCGGGGGAAGUAUGGUUGCAAAGCUGAAACUUAAAGGAAUUGACGGAAGGGCACCACCAGGAGUGGAGCCUGCGGCUUAAUUUGACUCAACACGGGAAAACUCACCAGGCCCGGACACCGGAAGGAUUGACAGAUUGAGAGCUCUUUCUUGAUUCGGUGGGUGGUGGUGCAUGG